GUCGUAUCAAGGUUUCCGUAGGUGAACCUGCGGAAGGAUCAUUA
RNAcentral lists this ribosomal RNA (44 nucleotides) under Lodderomyces elongisporus. Its description in RNAcentral is "partial 18S ribosomal RNA". It matches the Rfam family "Eukaryotic small subunit ribosomal RNA", at positions 1788 to 1831 of the family's 1831-position model. The record is from RNAcentral. Lineage: Eukaryota; Fungi; Ascomycota; Pichiomycetes; Serinales; Debaryomycetaceae.